This 465-nucleotide ribosomal RNA is filed under the name uncultured bacterium. Its description in RNAcentral is "partial 16S ribosomal RNA". It matches the Rfam family "Bacterial small subunit ribosomal RNA", at positions 28 to 507 of the family's 1533-position model. The record is from RNAcentral.
GAUAAACGCUGACAGAAUGCUUAACACAUGCAAGUCGAUGAUGGGAGCUAGCUUGCUAGAAGAAGUCAUGGCGGACGGGUGAGUAACGUGUAAAGAACUUACCAUAUAGACUGGGAUAACAGAGGGAAACUUCUGAUAAUACUGGAUAAGUUAGUAGUAGCAUUACUAAGUAAUGAAAGGUAGCAAUACGCUAUAUGAGAGCUUUGCAUCCUAUUAGCUAGUUGGUGGGGUAAAAGCCUACCAAGGCGAUGAUAGGUAGCCGGCCUGAGAGGGUGGACAGCCACAAGGGGACUGAGACACGGCCCUUACUCCUACGGGAGGCAGCAGUGGGGAAUAUUGGACAAUGGAGGCAACUCUGAUCCAGCAAUUCUGUGUGUGUGAAGAAGGUUUUAGGACUGUAAAACACUUUUAGUAGGGAAGAAAGAAAUGACGGUACAUACAGAAGAAGCGACGGCUAAAUACGUG